Molecule: non-coding RNA, 108 nt
Organism: Acanthosepion pharaonis
Lineage: Eukaryota; Metazoa; Mollusca; Cephalopoda; Sepiida; Sepiidae
Source: the annotation of a GenBank genome assembly
GGCUAUAACAUGUUGAAACUCGGGUUCUCAUAAGAUCACCGACGUUAAGCAACGUCGAACCUGGUCAGCACCUAGAUGGGUGACCGCUUGGGAAUACCGGUGCUGUGA